AGCAAAAUGAUGAGGUCAGCAUGUCUGAAACUGAUGUGGAUAUCUUUUGUCUCAUAAGGUCUUCAAAGUUCUCUGAUUGCU
Abrus precatorius (Indian licorice) is the source of this 81-nucleotide small nucleolar RNA. RefSeq annotates it as small nucleolar RNA R160. The transcript has a single exon. The record is from RefSeq and is a predicted model, not a curated record. Lineage: Eukaryota; Viridiplantae; Streptophyta; Magnoliopsida; Fabales; Fabaceae.